Long non-coding RNA from Macrobrachium nipponense, 583 nucleotides. RefSeq lists it as uncharacterized. NCBI's taxonomy places the organism in Eukaryota, Metazoa, Arthropoda, Malacostraca, Decapoda, Palaemonidae. The transcript has 3 exons. The record is from RefSeq and is a predicted model, not a curated record.
GUUUCCCUGGUGAUGUGAUGGUGAACCUACGUAGGGUCCCCGAUUGCAUUUUUUUGUAUUUCCCCACUCGAGCCAAAUAGGAACGACGGUACGAGCCAUUGAGCUCCUGCACAACACAAAGAUGGGAAGGAUUGCCAAUAUCAAAGCGAAAGUAAAACAGAAGGAAGCUUAGCCAAAUGUUAUGGAGGAUAAGACAUUGUUCUGAAGCGGAUGGUGGACCCCGAGGCACCUGGAAAGUACUGGAGAGCGCAGCCGCCUUCCCAUACGAAGGGGAGCCACUUGCAGUAGCCUUCCAGAGCGUCUGGCCGCCUCCUUUGUCUGGUGGGAAUGAGAGAAUGAUGGAACGAUUAUGGGCAGACUUAUCCAUCGUCUCAUAAAUCUUGUCCCUUUUAAAUGUCUGAUUAACUCGUUGAUGGAUGCUGUUGGAAACGAUGAAGGUGGUCGCGGCCGGCAUUCAUCUUUUGUAUAUUAAAUGUAUCAAAAUAAUAAUUUUGUUCUUUGUUCAUUUAUCUUCCUUAAUCUGUUUACAAUGAAAGUGAAAGGAAUGAAAUUAACUCAGUUUUAAUUAACCAAAUGCAUUUAA